GUUUUACGUGUGCUUGUUUUUUUUAAAUGGUCGAAUUAAUAAACUGAAAGAAAAGAAAAUCAACAUCGCUGACUUUGGAGUCAAGCAAAACCAACUGAACAGACGAGGCGACGUGAGUCAUUGCAAUGGAGCUGAGGUAACGGUAACCGGUCUGGACUGUUGUUGACUGGGCAAGCGUUAGACACUGGAACACUUUGUUGCAACUGUAGUUGAAAGUUUGCGUCUUUUGUGUUUUGUGUAACACCUUCCCAGCAAUUAAUGUUAGCAAGUUACUCAACCGCAACUAAAUUUGCAACACAGUUUAUCCGUGUAGUUACCCCUGUUAUUAGGAUGACAUCUUCAUCCCUGAAACUGUUUUCAUCCUGGAGGAGACUGUGCAGGAGGCAGGGGUGGAAAGAACGGUUAGUACAGCAUGCUAAACUGACCUCUGGGUGCCAGAGUGUUGCUGUGCUGCGGUGGAAAAGAGGUCCACCGGGACCAUCACUAAAGAGCUCGGGCCCAGCUAGAUUGAGCUCACGACCAUCAGCAUACAACCGAGGCCUGCCCCUAUACGCCCCAGAUGGAGCUGAUGGAGAGUGAGAUCAGUGAAGACCAUAACUCGCUAUAUGAACCUGAGAGCURAGAAUCACAAUCAUCACAGUGCGAGCCAAGAUGUACUAUCAAUCACUUUGGGGGAGUGGGAUGGUGUUCCGAAAAUGGAGAAGGAGCAGGCCAGUCAACAGCGAAUUCAAAGAUACACCCAUCCAUAAAGGGAAUCGGAGUGGAAUUUUUACCCGUUUCAAUGGAUGUGCUACCAUGUCCCGGUUCUGCUGUUUCGACUCUCUCUCAACCUAUGAAUGCUCAGCUAUGAAAAGCGAACUGACAUUUGCUCCUGAGGUGUUGAACUGU
This is a long non-coding RNA of Salvelinus sp. IW2-2015, 888 nucleotides long. RefSeq lists it as uncharacterized. The record is from RefSeq and is a predicted model, not a curated record. NCBI's taxonomy places the organism in Eukaryota, Metazoa, Chordata, Actinopteri, Salmoniformes, Salmonidae.